AUCCCUCAGUUCAUAAGUAUGAUGAUUGGGUGUUCACCCUAUUGUGUGAGAUGUGCCUCCCUCUAAACCUUGUUAUGACAUCAGCACAUUAAUCAUUUACU
Urocitellus parryii (Arctic ground squirrel) is the source of this 101-nucleotide small nucleolar RNA. RefSeq annotates it as small nucleolar RNA U13. NCBI's taxonomy places the organism in Eukaryota, Metazoa, Chordata, Mammalia, Rodentia, Sciuridae. The record is from RefSeq and is a predicted model, not a curated record.